RNAcentral lists this ribosomal RNA (375 nucleotides) under uncultured Leptolinea sp. RNAcentral describes it as "bacterial SSU rRNA". It matches the Rfam family "Bacterial small subunit ribosomal RNA", at positions 984 to 1382 of the family's 1533-position model. The record is from RNAcentral. Lineage: Bacteria; Bacillati; Chloroflexota; Anaerolineae; Anaerolineales; Anaerolineaceae.
AAGUGGUAGGAAGCCGAAGGUGACCGACCUCGGGAGCUUGCACAGGUGCUGCAUGGCUGUCGUCAGCUCGUGUCGUGAGAUGUUCGGUUAAGUCCGCUAACGAGCGCAACCCUCGCUGUGUGUUAUAUGUGUCACACGGGACUGCCGGUCUUAAGCCGGAGGAAGGUGGGGAUGAUGUCAAGUCAGCAUGGCCUUUAUAUCCUGGGCUACACACACGCUACAAUGGCCAACACAAUAGGUUGCUAAGCCGCGAGGUGGCGCCAAUCCAUAAAGUUGGUCUCAGUUCAGAUUGUAGGCUGCAACCCGCCUGCAUGAAGAUGGAGUUGCUAGUAACCGCAGGUCAGCUAUACUGCGGUGAAUACGUUCCCGGGGCUU